CCUACGGGGUGCAGCAGUCGAGAAUCAUUCACAAUGGGGGAAACCCUGAUGGUGCGACGCCGCGUGGGGGAAUGAAGGUCUUCGGAUUGUAAACCCCUGUCAUGUGGGAGCAAAUUAAAAAGAUAGUACCACAAGAGGAAGGGACGGCUAACUCUGUGCCAGCAGCCGCGGUAAUCCAGAGGUCUCAAGCGUUGUUCGGAAGCACUGGGCGUAAAGCGUGCGUAGGCUGUUUCGUAAGUCGUGUGUGAAAGGCGCGGGCUCACCCCGCGGACGGCACAUGAUACUGCGAGACUAGAGUAAUGGAGGGGGAACCGGAAUUCUCGGUGUAGCAGUGAAAUGCGUAGAUAUCGAGAGGAACACUCGUGGCGAAGGCGGGUUCCUGGACAUUAACUGACGCUGAGGCACGAAGGCCAGGGGAGCGAAAGGGAUUAGAUACCCUUGGAGUC
This 446-nucleotide ribosomal RNA is filed under the name uncultured bacterium. Its description in RNAcentral is "partial 16S ribosomal RNA". It matches the Rfam family "Bacterial small subunit ribosomal RNA", at positions 338 to 795 of the family's 1533-position model. The record is from RNAcentral.